AGUGAACGCUGGCGGUAGGCCUAACACAUGCAAGUCGAACGGCAGCACAGUAAGAGCUUGCUCUUACGGGUGGCGAGUGGCGGACGGGUGAGGAAUACAUCGGAAUCUACUUUUUCGUGGGGGAUAACGUAGGGAAACUUACGCUAAUACCGCAUACGACCUACGGCUGAAAGCAGGGGAUCUUCGGACCUUGCGCGAUUGAAUGAGCCGAUGUCGGAUUAGCUAGUUGGCGGGGUAAAGGCCCACCAAGGCGACGAUCCGUAGCUGGUCUGAGAGGAUGAUCGGCCACACUGGAACUGAGACACGGUCCAGACUCCUACGGGAGGCAGCAGUGGGGAAUAUUGGGCAAUGGGCGCAAGCCUGAUCCAGCCAUACCGCGUGGGUGAAGAAGGCCUUCGGGUUGUAAAGCCCUUUUGUUGGGAAAGAAAAGCAGCAGGUUAAUACGCCGCUGUUCUGACGGUACCCAAAGAAUAAGCACCGGCUAACUUCGUG
RNAcentral lists this ribosomal RNA (492 nucleotides) under uncultured bacterium. RNAcentral's name for it is "partial 16S ribosomal RNA". It matches the Rfam family "Bacterial small subunit ribosomal RNA", at positions 29 to 507 of the family's 1533-position model. The record is from RNAcentral.